CACUGAGCAUGGAGCCCAAUGCUAGACUCAAUCCUGAGACUCGAGGAUCCUGACCUGAGCUGAAGGGAGUAACUUAACCAAUUGAGCCACCCAGGCACC
Molecule: long non-coding RNA, 99 nt
Organism: Mustela erminea (ermine)
Lineage: Eukaryota; Metazoa; Chordata; Mammalia; Carnivora; Mustelidae
Exons: 4
Source: RefSeq, a predicted model, not a curated record